This 528-nucleotide ribosomal RNA is filed under the name Triticum aestivum (bread wheat). RNAcentral's name for it is "partial small subunit ribosomal RNA". Lineage: Eukaryota; Viridiplantae; Streptophyta; Magnoliopsida; Poales; Poaceae. The record is from RNAcentral.
AUGCCUCUUAAAGUUAAGGCAUUCUCUUGGUUAGUAAUCAAAAAUAGAAUUCUGACCAAGGACAAUCUGAGUAAAAAAGGCUGGAAAGGUGCUAAGUUUUGUGAAUUUUGUGACUGUGAAGAGAGUGUGAAUCAUUUAUUUUUCUCUUGUUCCUCAGCUAAGUUCCUGUGGAAUAUUGUGGGAUGUGCUCUAGGGAACUAGAGAGUUCCAAUGUCUUUUUUCGACCUAUGCCAGAACUGGUUGUCUAGCUAUACUAGCAAAGAUAGAGUAGUUUUUUUAUUGGGUACUGCUGCUCUCUUGUGGUCUAUAUGGAAAACAAGGAACAAAUCCUGUUUCCAAAGUGUUAUGCCUAGAGAUCCUACUGACAUUAUCUUUCUUGUUUGUUCCCCACUUGACUCUUGGAAAAAUCUGCAGAAAAGAGGGGUGCAAAGCAUGCUUCAUCAGGCGUCUAGACGUAUCGUGAGGGUGACUCGUGAUAUCUUCAGAGGAGGGCAUGGUUUGGCGCCACAUGUGAGAAGGAUUUUGUGA